This 324-nucleotide ribosomal RNA is filed under the name uncultured eukaryote. RNAcentral's name for it is "partial 18S ribosomal RNA". It matches the Rfam family "Eukaryotic small subunit ribosomal RNA", at positions 1470 to 1796 of the family's 1831-position model. The record is from RNAcentral.
CCCUUAGAUGUUCUGGGCUGCACGCGCGCUACACUGAAGCUAUCAACACGUUUUCCCUCCCUGAGAAGGGCGGGUAACCUAUUGAAUCAGCUUCGUGGUAGGGAUCGGGGCUUGCAAUUGUUCCCCGUGAACCAGGAAUUCCUAGUAGACGCGAGUCAUAAGCUCGCAUCGAUUAAGUCCCUGCCCUUUGUACACACCGCCCGUCGCUACUACCGAUUGAACGUUUUAGUGAGGCAUUUGGACCGACGCAUCUCAGUUUAACCGCUGGUUUGUGUUGGAAAGACUUCCAAACUUGAGCGUUUAGAGGAAGUAAAAGUCGUAACA